GUCCUUGUAGCUUAAACAAAGCAUGACGCUGAAGACGUCAAGAUGGCUGCCACCAGCACCCAAGGACA
This 68-nucleotide transfer RNA is filed under the name Oriolus chinensis (black-naped oriole). Its description in RNAcentral is "tRNA-Phe". The record is from RNAcentral. Lineage: Eukaryota; Metazoa; Chordata; Aves; Passeriformes; Corvidae.